CUCCGCGUUUCCUGUGUCUGUUAAGAGUUUCCCAAACCUCCUCCCUCCCGCACUAGGCCGGAUUCUGACGAAACCUUACUCAAUUGUAGCUGACUGCAGAGCCCUGAAGUUUAGAGUCCUCCUAGCAGCGGUAACUGGAGGGUCCCAUUUAGUCACAAAAGGAAAAAAAAUCAUGGAGCCGUAUUAUAUAUUCAGCAUUUGGCUAUUUAUUCACCUAGGUGCUGCUCUGGGGGACUCGAUCCAGUCCAGGGAGCCCCACCUCUCUGGAAGAGAAGGAGACGCUGUGACCCUCACUUGUUCUUAUUAUACCAGCUCUACCGGCUACGUCUAUCUCUACUGGUACCGUCAGUUUCCCAACCAAGCCCCGCGGUACAUUCUCUGGAGAGGAGCGAAGCAGGCCAGAGGUCAGAGUGAUACCGCAGAUUUCGCCAAGAAGAGAUUUUCUUCCCAGGCGGAUGACAGCUCCACAGCUCUGAGCAUCACAGCCCUGGAGCUGGCAGACACGGCGGUGUAUUACUGCGCCCUGCGUGUGGCACAGUGACAGAGUCACAUAGGAGAGCCGCACAAAAACCCUCCCUUUCCUGCUUCAUUGGAUGUUCAGAGAUUAAUGCUGCUUGCAGAUCUCCGGAGGGGACUCCUUCCACUAUGUACAACCACAUAUUUUGGGAUGAAUAGGGGACCUCAGUGUAUUUGUUCUAGCUCCUCCCAAGAGUCAAGCACUUAUUUAAAGAGCUACAUUCAACUGUCACGCCUGGAGACUAUAAAGGGCAUGAGCUUAAACCAGGAAACAUCUUAGACAUUUUUCUCCACAGUUCUCCAGCGGGCCUCUCCGUGUGUAGUGUGGGACCAAAAAAAAUUGCUCAUUUGUACUA
Molecule: non-coding RNA, 872 nt
Organism: Dermochelys coriacea (leatherback sea turtle)
Lineage: Eukaryota; Metazoa; Chordata; Testudines; Dermochelyidae
Source: the annotation of a RefSeq genome assembly